Molecule: ribosomal RNA, 245 nt
Filed under: uncultured bacterium
Lineage: Bacteria
Description: partial 16S ribosomal RNA
Rfam family: Bacterial small subunit ribosomal RNA
Source: RNAcentral
UACAGAGGGUGCAAGCGUUAAUCGGAGUUACUGGGCGUAAAGGGCGCGUAGGCGGAUGUUUAAGUCGAUUGUGAAAUCCCUGGGCUUAACCUAGGAAUUGCAUUCGAUACUGGAUAUCUAGAGUAUGGUAGAGGCAAGUGGAAUUCCCGGUGUAGCAGUGAAAUGCGUAGAUAUCGGGAGGAACACCAAGGCGAAGGCAGCUUGCUGGGCCAAUACUGACGCUGAGGCGCGAAAGCGUGGGGAGC